This 460-nucleotide ribosomal RNA is filed under the name uncultured bacterium. RNAcentral's name for it is "partial 16S ribosomal RNA". It matches the Rfam family "Bacterial small subunit ribosomal RNA", at positions 338 to 795 of the family's 1533-position model. The record is from RNAcentral.
CCUACGGGAGGCAGCAGUAAGGAAUAUUGGUCAAUGGACGAGAGUCUGAACCAGCCAAGUAGCGUGAAGGAUGACUGCCCUAUGGGUUGUAAACUUCUUUUAUAUGGGAAUAAAAUGUUCCACGUGUGGGAUUUUGUAUGUACCAUAUGAAUAAGGAUCGGCUAACUCCGUGCCAGCAGCCGCGGUAAUACGGAGGAUCCGAGCGUUAUCCGGAUUUAUUGGGUUUAAAGGGAGCGUAGGUGGAUUGUUAAGUCAGUUGUGAAAGUUUGCGGCUCAACCGUAAAAUUGCAGUUGAAACUGGCAGUCGUGAGUACAGUAGAGGUGGGCGGAAUUCGUGGUGUAGCGGUGAAAUGCUUAGAUAUCACGAAGAACUCCGAUUGCGAAGGCAGCUCACUGGACUGCAACUGACACUGAGGCUCGAAAGUGUGGGUAUCAAACAGGAUUAGAUACCCCAGUAGUC